CCGACUGCUAUCGGAUGAUACUAAGCCAUGCGAGUCUUUGUAGUAAUACAAGGCAGACGGCUCAGUAACACGUAGUCAACCUACCCUAUGGACAAGAAUAAUCUCGGGAAACUGGGCAUAAUUCUUGAUAGAUCAUAAUGCCUGGAAUGGUUUAUGGUUAAAAUGAUUCGUCGCCAUAGGAUGGGACUGCGGCCUAUCAGCUUGUUGGUGAGGUAAUGGCCCACCAAGGCGAUUACAGGUACGGGCUCUGAGAGGAGAAGCCCGGAGAUGGGUACUGAGACACGGACCCAGGCCCUAUGGGGCGCAGCAGGCGAGAAAACUUUGCAAUGUGCGAAAGCACGACAAGGUUAAUCCGAGUGAUUUCUGCUAAAGAAAUCUUUUGCCAGUCAUAAAACCACUGGUGAAUAAGGGGUGGGCAAGUUCUGGUGUCAGCCGCCGCGGUAAAACCAGCACCUCAAGUGGUCAGGAUGAUUAUUGGGCCUAAAGCAUCCGUAGCCGGCUUUGUUAGUUUUCGGUUAAAUCCAUGUGCUCAACGCAUGGGCUGCCGAAAAUACUGCAUAGCUAGGGAGUGGGAGAGGUAGACGGUACUCAGUAGGAAGGGGUAAAAUCCUUUGAUCUAUUGAUGACCACCUGUGGCGAAGGCGGUCUACCAGAACACGUUCGACGGUGAGGGAUGAAAGCUGGGGGAGCAAACCGGAUUAGAUACCCGGGUAGUCCCAGCUGUAAACGAUGCAGACUCGAUGAUGCAUUGGCAUAAUAGCCAGUGCAGUGUCGCAGGGAAGCCGUUAAGUCUGCCGCCUGGGAAGUACGUACGCAAGUAUGAAACUUAAAGGAUUGGCGGGGAGCACCACAAGGGUGAAGCCUGCG
This 867-nucleotide ribosomal RNA is filed under the name uncultured marine group I thaumarchaeote. RNAcentral describes it as "SSU rRNA". It matches the Rfam family "Archaeal small subunit ribosomal RNA", at positions 23 to 899 of the family's 1478-position model. Lineage: Archaea; Thermoproteati; Nitrososphaerota. The record is from RNAcentral.